This is a long non-coding RNA of Bos indicus x Bos taurus (hybrid cattle), 549 nucleotides long. The record is from Ensembl. Lineage: Eukaryota; Metazoa; Chordata; Mammalia; Artiodactyla; Bovidae.
CAACUCUGCGCCUUUCCUCCUCAGUUUAUUCCUUCCAGAUACUCAGUUGCUGCUUUUUCUUUGGAUCACUUUUCUGUGUUAUGGUAUUUCAGUUGUUUUUCCACUCCUUCCCCCACCCUCCUACCUUCCCCCCAUGGCAGGAUUCCUGAGAAGACUUGCUUUUGGAGAAAGCUGCACGCACAUCUGCUCUCUAGCUGCAGGGAGGGCCCUGUCAGGGGCUCGGGUCUCAGGGAGCCACGCCACACUGGGCAGUGGAGGCCGGGGGGCAGGGUCCAUGGGGCAUGGCAGCAGAGGCCCAUGGUGGGCAUGCUUCCUACAGCAGGCAGAGCUGAGCCUCAGGGCCUGGGGGUGCUGCCAAAGACCUGGGGCUGCAGCUCACCAGCUCCCUGGCUCUGCUGGCUGUGGCUGCUGGCUCGCUCGGCUCAGAUCUGCGUAUGCCAGACUUGAGGACCCUGAGGAUUUACCCCAUGUGGACGUUACAACUGACCAUCACAAGCCGAGCACGAGACAGGAUGGAGACUGGUGAAAAAGGAGGAACGCCUUCUGGAG